GAGGAAGUAAAAGUCGUAACAAGGUUUCCGUAGGUGAACCUGCGGAAGGAUCAUUAAUCGAAUGAACAUGUUUCUCGGCAUGAUAUUUCAAACCCCACCUGUGUACCCUUACCCUGUUGCUUCCGUGCCGCACAUGCUGCCAAGGCGUGCCCUCCCGGUCUUGGGUACCGCGAGUACGGCGAGUACCCGCUGACCCUGGGGAGCCGGCACGGGAGGUCAACCGUAAACUCCUGCCCUCGAAUGCCUUCUGUCUGAACUGUUACCGCAAGAAAAGUUAAAACUUUCAACAACGGAUCUCUUGGUUCUCGCAUCGAUGAAGAACGCAGCGAAAUGCGAUAAGUAGUGUGAAUUGCAGAAUUCCGUGAAUCAUCGAAUCUUUGAACGCACAUUGCGCCUCUCGGCAUUCCGGGAGGCAUGCCUGUUCGAGCGUCACCAGAAUCAACUCAAGCACUUUUGCGCGUGGUCAUGGAGGAAGAGUGCGCCCCCGUGGUGGUCUCCCCUCCCAAAAUCAAUGGCGGAGCGUCACUGGAACUCCUCGGCGUACUAGCAUCGUUCGCCGAUCAUCCCAGUGUCCCUCCCGCCGCACAACCCCCAGAAUUCUCUUGAUUGACCUCGGAUCAGGUAGGGAUACCCGCUGAACUUAAGCAUAUCAA
RNAcentral lists this ribosomal RNA (653 nucleotides) under uncultured Geopora. RNAcentral describes it as "eukaryotic LSU rRNA". The stretch from base 279 to 432 matches the Rfam family "5.8S ribosomal RNA". The record is from RNAcentral. Lineage: Eukaryota; Fungi; Ascomycota; Pezizomycetes; Pezizales; Pyronemataceae.